Molecule: transfer RNA, 72 nt
Filed under: Camelus ferus (Wild Bactrian camel)
Lineage: Eukaryota; Metazoa; Chordata; Mammalia; Artiodactyla; Camelidae
Rfam family: tRNA
About the family: Transfer RNA (tRNA) molecules are approximately 80 nucleotides in length.
Source: Rfam by way of RNAcentral
GAGGGUAUAGCUCAGUAGUAGAGUGCAUGUUUAGCAUGCAUGAGGUCCUGAGUUCAAUCCCCAGUACCUCCA